UAAAGCGAACGCAGGCGGUCAAUUAAGUCAGAUGUGAAAGCCCCGAGCUUAACUUGGGAAUUGCAUCUGAAACUGGUUGGCUAGAGUCUUGUAGAGGGGGGUAGAAUUCCAUGUGUAGCGGUGAAAUGCGUAGAGAUGUGGAGGAAUACCGGUGGCGAAGGCGGCCCCCUGGACAAAGACUGACGCUCAGGUGCGAAAGCGUGGGGAGCAAACAGGAUUAGAUACCCUGGUAGUCCACGCUGUAAACGAUGUCGAUUUAGAGGUUGUGGUCUUGAACCGUGGCUUCUGGAGCUAACGCGUUAAAUCGACCGCCUGGGGAGUAC
Molecule: ribosomal RNA, 323 nt
Filed under: Klebsiella oxytoca
Lineage: Bacteria; Pseudomonadati; Pseudomonadota; Gammaproteobacteria; Enterobacterales; Enterobacteriaceae
Description: bacterial SSU rRNA
Rfam family: Bacterial small subunit ribosomal RNA
Source: RNAcentral